This 253-nucleotide ribosomal RNA is filed under the name uncultured bacterium. Its description in RNAcentral is "partial 16S ribosomal RNA". It matches the Rfam family "Bacterial small subunit ribosomal RNA", at positions 524 to 776 of the family's 1533-position model. The record is from RNAcentral.
AACGUAGGUUCCGAGCGUUAUCCGGAUUUACUGGGCGUAAAGCGCGUUCAGGCGGUUUGGCAAGUCGGGCAUGAAAUCUCUCGGCUCAACCGGGAGAGGUUGUCCGAUACUGCUGGACUUGAGGGCAGUAGAGGGUGGUGGAAUUCCGGGUGUAGUGGUGAAAUGCGUAGAUAUCCGGAGGAACACCAGUGGCGAAAGCGGCCACCUGGACUGCACCUGACGCUGACACGCGAAAGCGUGGGGAGCGAACAGG